This 497-nucleotide ribosomal RNA is filed under the name uncultured bacterium. RNAcentral's name for it is "partial 16S ribosomal RNA". It matches the Rfam family "Bacterial small subunit ribosomal RNA", at positions 28 to 507 of the family's 1533-position model. The record is from RNAcentral.
GAUGAACGCUGGCGGCGUGCCUAAUACAUGCAAGUCGAGCGAACAUACGAGGAGCUUGCUCCUCUGACGUUAGCUGCGGACGGGUGAGUAACACGUUGAUAACCUACCUAUAAGACUGGGAUAACUUCGUGAAACCGGAGCUAAUACCGGAUAAUAUAUUUAACCGCAUGGUUCAAUAGUGAAAGACGGUUUUGCUGUCACUUAUAGAUGGAUCCGCGCCGCAUUAGCUAGUUGGUAAGGUAACGGCUUACCAAGGCAACGAUGCGUAGCCGACCUGAGAGGGUGAUCGGCCACACUGGAACUGAGACACGGUCCAGACUCCUACGGGAGGCAGCAGUAGGGAAUCUUCCGCAAUGGGCGAAAGCCUGACGGAGCAACGCCGCGUGAGUGAUGAAGGUCUUCGGAUCGUAAAACUCUGUUAUUAGGGAAGAACAAAUGUGUAAGUAACUAUGCACGUCUUGACGGUACCUAAUCAGAAAGCCACGGCUAACUACGUG